Molecule: non-coding RNA, 2271 nt
Organism: Oryctolagus cuniculus (rabbit)
Lineage: Eukaryota; Metazoa; Chordata; Mammalia; Lagomorpha; Leporidae
Source: RefSeq, a predicted model, not a curated record
AUCACUUUUAUUACAGUCUUAUUACAGUAUAUCAUUAUAAUUGCUCUAUUAUUAUUAAUUUUUAUUAAUCUUAAAUUGUGCCAGAUUUGUAUGUUAAUGGAUACAUAUAUAUAGUCAACAGGAGCAUAUAUAUAGUUUGGUACUGUUGGUAGUUUCAGGCAUGCAGUCAAGGUCCUGGAACACAAUUCUCCUGAGGAUCAGGGUUUUCUACUGUACUUGACAUAACUAAUAGUUAUCUACAUAUUAAUGGGCGGGUUAAUGAUGUCAUAUGCUUCGCAGUUACAAAGAAGGUUUUGCUGCCCCAUUUUACCAUUAGCCUAAUUGAAGCUUAGCUAAAGCAUAAGACACACAUGUUCAAUGUCACAAAAAAAUCUGUAAUGUAAGGAAGCUGGAUUUGAACCUAGGUCCUUUGACACUACAGUCCUUGCACAUACACAGCAUGCAACAGGACCUGCAUUCUUGAUGUGUACCAGCAAGUGAAAUACUGUGAAAAUAAUGGCUUUACUGAAUACUUCGAAGAGAAGCAGUUUAGAGGGGUUAUACUUUAUUAAUUUUAUAAAUAACCCAGACAUUUUUGCUGUAUAAAACAGAGGUUGGGCAGGGGAGGAUGAUCCACAAGCUUUCUUGGCCAGCUGCCAGUGGCACAAUUUUUAGCUUGGUCUUCUGUCUGCCCCUUCUUCAUCUUUUUGCCUACCUGUUGUUACUUCCAUUAUGAAGCCAUGUUGAGGUGUUAUUUACAUCAGACAUAUUGGUUAAACAUAAGCCACAUUGGCUGGGGAACUAUUUAAUCUCUUUGAGAAAGUCUAAUGAGACUCAGAUUAUUUCUCCACUCUUCCAAUUUUUGAUGAAAUUUUACCAUUUAUGAUUUGUUUCCCACAGUAAAUGCAAAGCAAAAAGACAUUUAAUGAAGAAUAUUAAUAAAGCUAUGACCAUUUCAGGCUGAAUUUUGUGGUAUCCUGUUUCUGUGAAGAGAUACCUGGAAAAAUUGUCUGGCCAUGUCUUUAAUUUUCUUGCUUCAAACAUGAGAAGUCUUCAAAAAGUUCAUGAGAAUGCAUAUUUGGAAAAAACUAUGCAUUGAUUAAAAAAAAACCUUGCACCAAAAUAAAAUUAGGUUUUAAUUCCAUUUUCCAUGAACUUUUUGAACUAUCUUCAGAUAUGUAGUAUCAGUAUUCACAUUUUAAAUAAGAAUUUGUUUCAUUGCCAUUAUUUUAAAAUAAACUGGAAAAUAUAUGUUUAUAUUGUAAAUGGUUAUAUAAGUUAAAAUUCAGUAAAUAGUAAAAAAUUGCAUAACUGUUCACCCUUUAUCUUUCAACAAACUUUUAAUUGUUUUCUUCCAAAUGUUUUCCCUUUGCAUCUGAAUUCUGCAUAGAUUAUAUCCACAAUAUGUAUAACACUUUGUAUCUGCUGAACAUUAUACUACAAAUACUCAUUUUGUUACGUAAUUCCAAUGUCAUAGUAAUAUAUGUCUUUGUGUGAAUCUAUUGAGUGGUUAGUUGGAUGAUAAUUUUUUAACUCUUCAUUGUCCAUUGAACAUUGAUUGAGUUGACAAUUUUUACUGCUGUUAUUGAUCUUGUGGAAAACAUCUGUGGAUUAUAGCUUCUGACCAUUUCUUGGGUAGCAAAGUGUUUGGGUAAAAACUCGGUACAGUUUUAGGGUUAGUAGCCCAUGCCUCCACAGUGUUCUCCCAAAGGUAUUGUAUAGCUCAAAAUUCCAGUAGCAAUAUUCAGUGUCAUUUUUUAUACCAUCUCCAUCAAUAUCCUGGUGUACACAUUGUAUGGAAGAUUUUUAAAAAUAUGUUUGUGAUUUUUAAAAAGUGAAGAAUAGUACCUCAUCACAUUCUUUUUCGUACUUCCCACUUUAAAUAUUAGAGUGAAGAAGGAGCCCCACAGGAAGGAAUUCUGGAAGCUAUGCCCAUGGAUCCUGACAGUGAAGCUUAUGAAAUGCCCUCGGAGGAAGGGUAUCAAGACUAUGAACCUGAAGCCUAAGAAAGACCUUUGCUCCGUUGCUUCAGAUCUGCUGACAGAUGUUCCAUCCUGUGCAAGUGCUCAGUUCCAAUGUGCCCAGUCAUGACAUUUUCUCAGAGUUUGUACAGUGUAUCUUGAAGUCUUCCAUCAGCAGUGAUUGACGCAUCCGCACCUGCCCCCACCCAGCAUCUCGGUGCUUCCCUCUCACUGAAGUGAAUAUAUGGUAGCAGGGUCCUUGUGUGCUGUGGAUGUUGUGGCUUCAAAUCUAAAAUGUUAAAGCAAAUUAAAAACACCUAAGUGACUAUCA